This 74-nucleotide transfer RNA is filed under the name Myotis brandtii (Brandt's bat). It matches the Rfam family "tRNA". Rfam says of the family: Transfer RNA (tRNA) molecules are approximately 80 nucleotides in length. Their secondary structure includes four short double-helical elements and three loops (D, anti-codon, and T loops). The record is from Rfam by way of RNAcentral. Lineage: Eukaryota; Metazoa; Chordata; Mammalia; Chiroptera; Vespertilionidae.
GCCAGUGUGGUUAAGUGGUUAAAACAUUGGCCCAUGCACUGAAGGGUCAUGGGUUCGAUUCCCAGUCAAGGGCA